This is a long non-coding RNA of Hippoglossus stenolepis (Pacific halibut), 850 nucleotides long. RefSeq lists it as uncharacterized. The record is from RefSeq and is a predicted model, not a curated record. The transcript has 3 exons. NCBI's taxonomy places the organism in Eukaryota, Metazoa, Chordata, Actinopteri, Pleuronectiformes, Pleuronectidae.
CUACACAAAAACAACCAUGAAUCUUGGUUGAAGGAUGGAGUAUGGGUCAGAGUCAUGGACUAAAUGUAAAAGAUGGACGGAGCUUCCGGCUCUAAAAGAAGAAGCCGAUGCACUCCCGGAUGAUUGACAGGCAGCAGCUGAGACAGGCCAGAUGAGAGAGAUUCACCCGAGGAAAACAGGAGCUGUGUUUACAUUGUGUUUACUCACUUCUCUCACAUUUACUGUCAUUCUGUCAGUAUCAGUCGCUGGAGAAGGUUUUUACACCGACACGUUUCCUGUUAGUUUGUCUUUAUUAGGGCCCGAGCACCGUGCGAGGACCUCAUUGAUUUAGCUUCGGUGAUUAGUUUUGGGUUCACCGGGUUUAGGCCUGUUCUUUAGUAACAACAGACACGGAGGAGCUGAUGUCUCCAGUUUGUUCGCUUUUGGAAGACCUCAUGUAUGGAGCAGAAUAUUUGGUGCCAUUCUUCAGGAUGUGGAGGAGAGAGACUGGAUAACAACAGACCAACAGAAGAUUGUGUUUGAUUCUCUAUAUUCUCAGAUUCAGUUUGCUGUUUUUAGAGGUGGUAGUAACAUUUUAAAAACAUAACUUGGAAAUGAUUUAUCUAGAAUAAGUAAAUGGAUCAACUUCAGCAGUCACAACGUUCACAGGUACUAUUUUACCAAUGUGACAUGUAGGGUCCUCAAUUGUAAACAGCUGGAACUGUCCAACCUGAAGUUCACCGGGAUUAAUUGUGACUUCUAUAACAAAUGUUUACUGCUGUUAACACUUUAAAAGUAUGUACUAGAUAUACAUGAUUAAGUGUUUACUUAACCUCUGAUAUUUAUGAUUAAAAUGUACAUUUUCCAUUGA